Molecule: ribosomal RNA, 643 nt
Filed under: Escherichia coli
Lineage: Bacteria; Pseudomonadati; Pseudomonadota; Gammaproteobacteria; Enterobacterales; Enterobacteriaceae
Description: partial 23S ribosomal RNA
Rfam family: Bacterial large subunit ribosomal RNA
Source: RNAcentral
GUGGACGCCAGUCUGCAUGGAGCCGACCUUGAAAUACCACCCUUUAAUGUUUGAUGUUCUAACGUUGGCCCGUAAUCCGGGUUGCGGACAGUGUCUGGUGGGUAGUUUGACUGGGGCGGUCUCCUCCUAAAGAGUAACGGAGGAGCACGAAGGUUGGCUAAUCCUGGUCGGACAUCAGGAGGUUAGUGCAAUGGCAUAAGCCAGCUUGACUGCGAGCGUGACGGCGCGAGCAGGUGCGAAAGCAGGUCAUAGUGAUCCGGUGGUUCUGAAUGGAAGGGCCAUCGCUCAACGGAUAAAAGGUACUCCGGGGAUAACAGGCUGAUACCGCCCAAGAGUUCAUAUCGACGGCGGUGUUUGGCACCUCGAUGUCGGCUCAUCACAUCCUGGGGCUGAAGUAGGUCCCAAGGGUAUGGCUGUUCGCCAUUUAAAGUGGUACGCGAGCUGGGUUUAGAACGUCGUGAGACAGUUCGGUCCCUAUCUGCCGUGGGCGCUGGAGAACUGAGGGGGGCUGCUCCUAGUACGAGAGGACCGGAGUGGACGCAUCACUGGUGUUCGGGUUGUCAUGCCAAUGGCACUGCCCGGUAGCUAAAUGCGGAAGAGAUAAGUGCUGAAAGCAUCUAAGCACGAAACUUGCCCCGAGAUG